This 681-nucleotide ribosomal RNA is filed under the name Mirobaeoides sp. M282. Its description in RNAcentral is "SSU rRNA". It matches the Rfam family "Eukaryotic small subunit ribosomal RNA", at positions 462 to 1088 of the family's 1831-position model. The record is from RNAcentral. Lineage: Eukaryota; Metazoa; Arthropoda; Insecta; Hymenoptera; Scelionidae.
AGGUAGUGACGAAAAAUAACGAUACGGGACUCAUCCGAGGCCCCGUAAUCGGAAUGAGUACACUUUAAAUCCUUUAACGAGGAUCCAUUGGAGGGCAAGUCUGGUGCCAGCCGCCGCGGUAAUUCCAGCUCCAAUAGCGUAUAUUAAAGUUGUUGCGGUUAAAAAGCUCGUAGUUGAAUCUGUGUGUUACGCUGUCGGUUCAUCGCUCGCCGAUGUCUAACUGAUACGCCGUGACACGUCCUACCGGUGGACUUAGCCGUUCCCGCUUUGCGGUAACGCGGCGGUCCUACUUGAAUCCCAUCGCGGUGCCCUUAAUCGAGUGUCGUGGUGGGCCGGUACGUUUACUUUGAACAAAUUAGAGUGCUUAAAGCAGGCUGUUUUCGCCUGAAUACUGUGUGCAUGGAAUAAUGGAAUAGGACCUCGGUUCUAUUUUGUUGGUUUUCGGAACACCGAGGUAAUGAUUAAUAGGGACAGAUGGGGGCAUUCGUAUUGCGACGUUAGAGGUGAAAUUCUUGGAUCGUCGCAAGACGGACAGAAGCGAAAGCAUUUGCCAAAAAUGUUUUCAUUAAUCAAGAACGAAAGUUAGAGGUUCGAAGGCGAUCAGAUACCGCCCUAGUUCUAACCAUAAACGAUGCCAGCUAGCGAUCCGCCGAAGUUCCUCCGAUGACUCGGCGGGCAGCU